RNAcentral lists this ribosomal RNA (436 nucleotides) under uncultured Clostridium sp. Its description in RNAcentral is "partial 16S ribosomal RNA". It matches the Rfam family "Bacterial small subunit ribosomal RNA", at positions 341 to 792 of the family's 1533-position model. The record is from RNAcentral. Lineage: Bacteria; Bacillati; Bacillota; Clostridia; Eubacteriales; Clostridiaceae.
ACGGAAGGCAGCAGUGGGGAAUAUUGGGCAAUGGGCGAAAGCCUGACCCAGCGACGCCGCGUGAGCGAUGAAGGUCUUCGGAUUGUAAAGCUCUGUUGAUAGGGACGAACAAAUGACGGUACCUAUCGAGGAAGCCACGGCUAACUACGUGCCAGCAGCCGCGGUAAUACGUAGGUGGCAAGCGUUAUCCGGAUUUACUGGGUGUAAAGGGUGUGUAGGCGGGGGAGCAAGUCAGAUGUGAAAUCCCGGGGCUCAACCCCGGAACUGCAUUUGAAACUGUAGCCCUUGAGUAUCGGAGAGGCAAGCGGAAUUCCUAGUGUAGCGGUGAAAUGCGUAGAUAUUAGGAGGAACACCAGUGGCGAAGGCGGCUUGCUGGACGACAACUGACGCUGAGGCGCGAAAGCGUGGGGAGCAAACAGGAUUAGAUACCCUGGUA